RNAcentral lists this ribosomal RNA (253 nucleotides) under uncultured bacterium. RNAcentral describes it as "partial 16S ribosomal RNA". It matches the Rfam family "Bacterial small subunit ribosomal RNA", at positions 524 to 776 of the family's 1533-position model. The record is from RNAcentral.
UACGUAGGGUCCGAGCGUUGUCCGGAUUUAUUGGGCGUAAAGAGCUCGUAGGCGGCUUGUCGCGUCGUCCGUGAAAACUUGGGGCUCAACCCCAAGCUUGCGGUCGAUACGGGCAGGCUAGAGUUCGGUAGGGGAGACUGGAAUUCCUGGUGUAGCGGUGAAAUGCGCAGAUAUCAGGAGGAACACCGGUGGCGAAGGCGGGUCUCUGGGCCGAUACUGACGCUGAGGAGCGAAAGCGUGGGGAGCGAACAGG